CAGUGAGGCAGCAGGAAUGCUCGCUCAGGACAUUUGGGAUCUUUAAUAACUCUUCCCAGCAUAACUUGUCCUGUUCCCCACUUAUCUGAAACCCCAGUUCCUGCCACAGAUUUGUCAUUUUUCAAUUUAUGAACUUCAGUUCUGUUUCCUUCCAUGGCUGUGUCUCUGUAAGGCUUUGGUAGAACUCAUGUAGUGCUGGGUACACAAGUGAGCACAUGUGGGCAGCACAGAAAGAGCAAAACUGCCUGAGUGAGGGGCUUGAGAGCUGCUGUCCUGAAGGAUCCCAGCACAGAGCUCCAGUUCCAGCCCCCGUGGGACAUCCCCUCUCCCCCCAGCAUUCUGCAUGAGUGACACAAGAGCUUUACAAGUGAGAGCUUUUUGUACAUUAAAA
Molecule: long non-coding RNA, 391 nt
Organism: Cyanistes caeruleus (blue tit)
Lineage: Eukaryota; Metazoa; Chordata; Aves; Passeriformes; Paridae
Source: RefSeq, a predicted model, not a curated record